AGAGUUUGAUCCUGGCUCAGGAUGAACGCUGGCGGCAUGCCUAAGACAUGCAAGUCGAGGGGCAGCAUGAACUUAGCUUGCUAAGUUUGAUGGCGACCGGCGCACGGGUGAGUAACACGUAUCCAACCUGCCGAUGACUCGGGGAUAGCCUUUCGAAAGAAAGAUUAAUACCCGAUGGCAUAGUUCUUCCGCAUGGUAGAACUAUUAAAGAAUUUCGGUCAUCGAUGGGGAUGCGUUCCAUUAGGUUGUUGGCGGGGUAACGGCCCACCUAGUCUUCGAUGGAUAGGGGUUCUGAGAGGAAGGUCCCCCACAUUGGAACUGAGACACGGUCCAAACUCCUACGGGAGGCAGCAGUGAGGAAUAUUGGUCAAUGGGCGAGAGCCUGAACCAGCCAAGUAGCGUGAAGGAUGACUGCCCUAUGGGUUGUAAACUUCUUUUAUAAAGGAAUAAAGUCGGGUAUGGAUACCCGUUUGCAUGUACUUUAUGAAUAAGGAUCGGCUAACUCCGUGCCAGCAGCCGCGGUAAUACGGAGGAUCCGAGCGUUAUCCGGAUUUAUUGGGUUUAAAGGGAGCGUAGAUGGAUGUUUAAGUCAGUUGUGAAAGUUUGCGGCUCAACCGUAAAAUUGCAGUUGAUACUGGAUAUCUUGAGUGCAGUUGAGGCAGGCGGAAUUCGUGGUGUAGCGGUGAAAUGCUUAGAUAUCACGAAGAACUCCGAUUGCGAAGGCAGCCUGCUAAGCUGCAACUGACAUUGAGGCUCGAAAGUGUGAGUAUCAAACAGGAUUAGAUACCCUGGUAGUCCACACGGUAAACGAUGAAUACUCGCUGUUUGCGAUAUACGGCAAGCGGCCAAGCGAAAGCGUUAAGUAUUCCACCUGGGGAGUACGCCGGCAACGGUGAAACUCAAAGGAAUUGACGGGGGCCCGCACAAGCGGAGGAACAUGUGGUUUAAUUCGAUGAUACGCGAGGAACCUUACCCGGGCUUAAAUUGCAGAUGAAUUACGGUGAAAGCCGUAAGCCGCAAGGCAUCUGUGAAGGUGCUGCAUGGUUGUCGUCAGCUCGUGCCGUGAGGUGUCGGCUUAAGUGCCAUAACGAGCGCAACCCUUGUUGUCAGUUACUAACAGGUCAUGCUGAGGACUCUGACAAGACUGCCAUCGUAAGAUGUGAGGAAGGUGGGGAUGACGUCAAAUCAGCACGGCCCUUACGUCCGGGGCUACACACGUGUUACAAUGGGGGGUACAGAGGGCCGCUACCACGCGAGUGGAUGCCAAUCCCCAAAACCUCUCUCAGUUCGGACUGGAGUCUGCAACCCGACUCCACGAAGCUGGAUUCGCUAGUAAUCGCGCAUCAGCCACGGCGCGGUGAAUACGUUCCCGGGCCUUGCACUCACCGCCCGUCA
This 1395-nucleotide ribosomal RNA is filed under the name uncultured bacterium. Its description in RNAcentral is "16S ribosomal RNA". It matches the Rfam family "Bacterial small subunit ribosomal RNA". The record is from RNAcentral.